This 792-nucleotide ribosomal RNA is filed under the name Triticum aestivum (bread wheat). RNAcentral describes it as "partial small subunit ribosomal RNA". Lineage: Eukaryota; Viridiplantae; Streptophyta; Magnoliopsida; Poales; Poaceae. The record is from RNAcentral.
AGCCUGAAAAUUCUUGAAGCUGCUGGAAUGGAAGGGUGCCAUGGAUGUCAGACACCCAUGGAGUGUCGUCUCAAACUGAUGAAGAAUGACGAUGCAAAACCUGUCGUCCCUUCUCUGUACCGCAGUAUAAUUGGUAGCCUAAGGUACCUGGUGCACUCAAGACCGGACAUCACUCAUGCAGUUGGAAUAGUGAGCAUAUACAUGGAAAGGCCUACAGUCACUCACUGGACAGCCGUGAAGCAGAUACUGAGGUACAUGUGCAGUACUUUGAGCUAUGGGUGCUGCUAUGGGCGUGGUUCAGGAAAAAGUGAGCUGCUGGGCUAUAGUGACAGUGACCACGCCGGCGACGUUGAGGAUUGUAAAAGCACAUCUGGUCAGAUUUUUUUCCUUGGUAGCAAUCCUGUUACAUGGGCUUCCCAAAAGCAAAAGAUUGUGGCAAUCAGCUCCUGUGAGGCAGAGUACGUGGCUGCGGAGUCUGCUACUUGCCAAGGCCUAUGGCUGAAUCAUCUGCUCAUUGAAAUGAAAGGAGAAACAGCUGGUGCGUUCAGGCUCUUGAUUGACAAUAAGUCUGCAACAGCGCUGGCGAAGAAUCCCGUUCAUCAUGAUCGAAGCAAACAUAUCGAUGUCAAGUUCCAUUUCAUCCGAGACUGUGUUGAACAUGGAGAGGUGCAGCUUGAUCAUGUGGGAUCUGAUGACCAGGUGUCCGAUGCAUUGACAAAAGCACUUGGGCGUGUGAAGCUCAUCGAGCUGCGUCAGAAGCUUGGUGUCAAGGAAAUCAGCAAAGGACGUUGA